UACAGAGGCCCCAAGCAUUACCCGGAAUCACUGGGCGUAAAGGGUGUGUAGGCGGUUGUAUUAGUCUUUCGUAAAAGCACCCGGACUCAAUCCGGGUAAUGCGGGAGAAACGGUACAACUAAGAGGGCGCGAGAGGUAGAGGGAACUCAUGGUGUAGGGGUGAAAUCCGUUGAUAUCAUGGGGAACACCAAAUGCGAAGGCACUCUACUGGCGCGCUCCUGACGCUGAAACACGAAAGCGUGGGAAUCGAACGGG
This 255-nucleotide ribosomal RNA is filed under the name uncultured bacterium. RNAcentral's name for it is "partial 16S ribosomal RNA". It matches the Rfam family "Bacterial small subunit ribosomal RNA", at positions 524 to 776 of the family's 1533-position model. The record is from RNAcentral.